CCUACGGGAGGCAGCAGUGGGGAAUAUUGGACAAUGGGCGAAAGCCUGAUCCAGCCAUGCCGCGUGUGUGAAGAAGGCCUUCGGGUUGUAAAGCACUUUCAGUGAGGAAGAAAGCCUUGGGGUUAAUACCCUCGAGGGAGGGCAUCACUCACAGAAGAAGCACCGGCUAACUCCGUGCCAGCAGCCGCGGUAAU
This 194-nucleotide ribosomal RNA is filed under the name uncultured Halomonas sp. RNAcentral describes it as "partial 16S ribosomal RNA". It matches the Rfam family "Bacterial small subunit ribosomal RNA", at positions 338 to 524 of the family's 1533-position model. Lineage: Bacteria; Pseudomonadati; Pseudomonadota; Gammaproteobacteria; Oceanospirillales; Halomonadaceae. The record is from RNAcentral.